RNAcentral lists this ribosomal RNA (1475 nucleotides) under Stigeoclonium tenue. RNAcentral describes it as "eukaryotic LSU rRNA". It matches the Rfam family "Eukaryotic large subunit ribosomal RNA", at positions 1 to 1504 of the family's 3401-position model. The record is from RNAcentral. Lineage: Eukaryota; Viridiplantae; Chlorophyta; Chlorophyceae; Chaetophorales; Chaetophoraceae.
UCGACCUGAGCUCAGGCAAGAUUACCCGCUGAACUUAAGCAUAUCAAUAAGCGGAGGAAAAGAAACUAACAAGGAUUCCCCUAGUAACGGCGAGCGAACCGGGAAUAGCCCAACUUGGAAAUCUCCCUCGGAGAAUUGUAGUCUAUAGAAGCGCCCUCUGCAGCGGCCGGGUCCCAAGUCCCCUGGAAGGGGGCGUCGUAGAGGGUGAGAACCCCGUCGGACCUUGGUGCAGCUGCCUCACGAGGUGCUUUCGAAGAGUCGGGUUGUUUGGGAAUGCAGCCCAAAGCUGGUGGUAAAUCCCAUCUAAGGCUAAAUACUGGCGAGAGACCGAUAGCGAACAAGUACCGCGAGGGAAAGAUGAAAAGAACUUUGAAAAGAGAGUUAAAAAGUGCUUGAAAUUGUUGAGGGGGAAGCGAUUGGCAGCUGCGUGUGCACCCAGGCUUACGCCGUUCUAACGAGCGGCUGCAUGCGCUGGGUGUUGGUCAGCAUGGGUUGGCUUGGCAGGAUAAACGCGGGGGUUGUUACUCCGUCUAUGCUGCCGGGCCGACCGAGGCGUGAAGGCCGCUCUUGUCCUUCGGGAUCUGCGGCCUCGAGAUGCUGGCGGAAGGCUUUCAAUCGGCCCGUCUUGAAACACGGACCAAGGAGUCUAACAUGUAUGCGAGCUGGUGGGUGGCAAACCCAUGAGGCGCAAGUAACCUGACUUUGGUGGGAUGGCCGCAAGGCCUGCACCAUCGACCGACCGUGAUCUUCUGUGAAAGGUUCGAGUACGAGCAUACCUGUUGGGACCCGAAAGAUGGUGAACUAUGCCUGAGCAGGGCGAAGCCGGAGGAAACUCCGGUGGAGGCUCGUAGAUGUGCUGACGUGCAAAUCGCUUUUCGGACUUGGGUAUAGGGGCGAAAGACUAAUCGAACCAUCUAGUAGCUGGUUCCCUCCGAAGUUUCCCCCAGGAUAGCUGGAGCUUGUGUGUCAGUUUUAUCGGGUAAAGCUAAUGAUUAGAGGUUCGGGGGAUGAAACAUCUUCCACCUAUUCUCAAACUUUAAAUAGGUAAGACGUGUGAGUUGCUUAACUGAACUCACGCAUUCAAUGAGAGCUCCAAGUGGGCCAUUUUUGGUAAGCAGAACUGGCGAUGCGGGAUGAACCGAUAGUUGGGUUAAGGUGCCGGACUACGCGCUAACCUAGAUCCCACAAAGGGUGUUGAUUGAUACAGACAGCAGGACGGUGGUCAUGGAAGUCGAAAUCCGCUAAGGAGUGUGUAACAACUCACCUGCCGAAUCAAUUAGCCCCGAAAAUGGAUGGCGCUGAAGCGCGUGACCUAUACCCGGCCAUGGGGGCAAGUGCGAGGCUCCCAUGAGUAGGAGGGCGUGGGUGUCGCUGCGCAGCCUGGGGCGUGAGCCCGGGUGAAGCGGCAGCUAGUGCAGAUCUUGGUGGUAGUAGCAAAUAUUCAAAUGAGAACUUUGAAGACUGAAGGGGAGAAA